This 256-nucleotide ribosomal RNA is filed under the name uncultured bacterium. RNAcentral describes it as "partial 16S ribosomal RNA". It matches the Rfam family "Bacterial small subunit ribosomal RNA", at positions 1245 to 1500 of the family's 1533-position model. The record is from RNAcentral.
AGAAACGAAACAGUGAUGUGGAGUAAAACUUAGAAAAACGGUACUCAGUUCGGAUUGAAGGCUGAAAUUCGCCUUCAUGAAGCUGGAAUUGCUAGUAAUGGCAGGUCAGCAUACUGCCGUGAAUACGUUCCCGGGCCUUGUACACACCGCCCGUCACACCAUGAGAGUUGGAAAUACCCGAAGCCUGUGAGCUAACUUUUAGAGGCAGCAGUCGAAGGUAGAGCCAAUGAUUGGGGUGAAGUCGUAACAAGGUAAC